Molecule: transfer RNA, 64 nt
Filed under: Cavia porcellus (domestic guinea pig)
Lineage: Eukaryota; Metazoa; Chordata; Mammalia; Rodentia; Caviidae
Rfam family: tRNA
About the family: Transfer RNA (tRNA) molecules are approximately 80 nucleotides in length.
Source: Rfam by way of RNAcentral
GGGAAUUUAGCUUAGUGGCAUAAGUGCCUGCCUGGCAAGCAUGAGGUCGUGAGUUCAAUCCCCA